Pocillopora damicornis (cauliflower coral) is the source of this 824-nucleotide long non-coding RNA. Lineage: Eukaryota; Metazoa; Cnidaria; Anthozoa; Scleractinia; Pocilloporidae. The record is from RefSeq and is a predicted model, not a curated record.
UUAAACAAUUUAAAUUUCAGAUUACAUUUUACAUCACUGAUUUGGUUGAACAUUGUAUAAUUCUCAGUUGGGUACUCUGUCCAAGCUGGCCUCACUUUAAACCUUGUCUUGGUCAGUUUAGUCUCAAAUUGCCUCAAAGGCUUGUUCUCAAUUUGCAUGUUGGUUUCAUGAACUAAUUUAGAAGCAUGUGGAAAUACUUUUUUUUAGUGUGAAAAUUUUCUGAUGACCAUACCAAGAUGAUGAUUAUAAGUGCUGCAGCACUCUCAGAUACACAUCUACUUGACCAUGGUCAUGUCACAGUCCAGAGCCACUUUCUAGUUCUUGCAUUUUAUAAUCUGAAAGUCUAGACAUAAGAUAAACAGGAAGUGCUGCAAUCUUUGUCUUUGUCCUUGUCUAGCAGAUGUUUAUCAGUGUCAUCUCAUUUUAUUUUCUUUUCUAUUACAUAAAUGUUGUGAUUUACUAUGGAUCAUUGAUGUUGUAUUAACCAAGGCCUGCUGACCAGUGAUGGAUUAAAAUGGAAGACAAGACGAAGGUUGAUCACUCCAACAUUUCACUUCAGCAUUUUGAAUACCUUCCUACAAGUUUUUGAAGAACAAUCGAAAAUUCUGGUUUCAAACCUUGAGAAAAAGGUCAAGACAGGAACUUUCAACAUAAUGCCAUACAUUACUCGGUGUACUCUGGAUAUUAUAUGCAGUAAGUACUUUGCACUAUUCAGUCACAGACUAAAAUUUGAUGAUGUUCGUGUUUGUUCUUGCAUUUGAUUAUAUUCCUUCUUUUCUCCUACAGUAGAUGUAUGUCUAUGUUAGCAUACCCUUGUGAACUGA